Gordionus sp. m RMFG-2023 is the source of this 541-nucleotide long non-coding RNA. RefSeq lists it as uncharacterized. The transcript has 3 exons. The record is from RefSeq and is a predicted model, not a curated record. NCBI's taxonomy places the organism in Eukaryota, Metazoa, Nematomorpha, Gordioida, Chordodea, Parachordodidae.
UUCCCUAAUUUAAUUCCGCAAACGACAAUAAUUAUACAUUAAUAAAAAUUAAGAAUUAUGGUGGAUUGAUAAUACCAUCCCAAAGCGUGUCAAAUUUAUGCAAAAUAACAGAGAGCUCAUUCAGGGCUUUUGAAAAAGUAGAUGAAAUAACCAAAAGACAUGCUGUUAAAAAAAUAGAAUGUCUAAUAUUGUCAAAAAUAUUAGGCACAAAUAUCCUUAGUGACCUGCAAGAUCAUAUGGAUCAAGAGGCAGGGUUAAGUCAUUAUCAAAUUAUAAUAAGACUUAUAAUAAAAAGAUACCUUCACAUAAGAAUGCAUCAUUAUGGUAAUAAAGUAAAUCAAAAAUUACAAUUAAAUAUCAGGCAAAAACUAAACAAGGCUGUACUUUUUCAAGGGCAAUAAACCAAGUGAAGAACAAAUUAUCUGAAAAUUUCUAAUGACUUUAUUGGUUAUAAUAAAUUAAUUUUAUUAGACAUAAAUAUAACAUAUAUAUAUUAUUUGUAUUUAUUAUUGAUUUAUAAGAUUAAUAUUUUCUUUUCGCG